RNAcentral lists this long non-coding RNA (339 nucleotides) under Oryza brachyantha (malo sina). Its description in RNAcentral is "long non-coding RNA (OBRA_LNC000917)". Lineage: Eukaryota; Viridiplantae; Streptophyta; Magnoliopsida; Poales; Poaceae. The record is from RNAcentral.
CGUGGAUUUAGUAAAAUUAAUUCGGUAGCAUAGACGUUGCUAUGUUAGUUUUAUAGGAGAAACCAAUAUAGAUUUUGGAAGAGAGUAAUGGAGCAAAUCGAUAAUCUCUCGAUCGAUAGAUCAGAUACAACUAAAAACUUAAACAAGAAACGAACUGAUCAUAUCCUAUGGAAGAAGAUGCUGAGGCCGUCAUUGCCGUUGAAUCCCAGCCAUCCGAUGGGGUCAACGAGGUGAAACGACUCCGCAUCCGACGACGCAACGGUUCUCUCGAACCUCCCGCGAAGGUACUCCACCCCGGCGCCGCCGGGAAGCCGCCCGGCUCCGGCGGGGGCGGCCCCC